UGACCCCAGGGAGGCGGGAUUACCCGCUGAAUUUAAGCAUA
RNAcentral lists this ribosomal RNA (41 nucleotides) under Begonia x taipeiensis. Its description in RNAcentral is "partial 28S ribosomal RNA". Lineage: Eukaryota; Viridiplantae; Streptophyta; Magnoliopsida; Cucurbitales; Begoniaceae. The record is from RNAcentral.